AGUGAACGCUGGCGGUAGGCCUAACACAUGCAAGUCGAACGGCAGCACAGUAAGAGCUUGCUCUUACGGGUGGCGAGUGGCGGACGGGUGAGGAAUACAUCGGAAUCUACUUUUUCGUGGGGGAUAACGUAGGGAAACUUACGCUAAUACCGCAUACGACCUACGGGUGAAAGCAGGGGAUCUUCGGACCUUGCGCGAUUGAAUGAGCCGAUGUCGGAUUAGCUAGUUGGCGGGGUAAAGGCCCACCAAGGCGACGAUCCGUAGCCGGUCUGAGAGGAUGAUCAGCCACACUGGAACUGAGACACGGUCCAGACUCCUACGGGAGGCAGCAGUGGGGAAUAUUGGACAAUGGGCGCAAGCCUGAUCCAGCCAUACCGCGUGGGUGAAGAAGGCCUUCGGGUUGUAAAGCCCUUUUGUUGGGAAAGAAAAGCAGCAGGUUAAUACCCCGCUGUUCUGGCGGUACCCAAAGAAUAAGCACCGGCUAACUUCGUG
This 492-nucleotide ribosomal RNA is filed under the name uncultured bacterium. RNAcentral describes it as "partial 16S ribosomal RNA". It matches the Rfam family "Bacterial small subunit ribosomal RNA", at positions 29 to 507 of the family's 1533-position model. The record is from RNAcentral.